AGAGUUUGAUCAUGGCUCAGAUUGAACGCUGGCGGCAGGCCUAACACAUGCAAGUCGAGCGGUAGCACAGAGAGCUUGCUCUCGGGUGACGAGCGGCGGACGGGUGAGUAAUGUCUGGGAAACUGCCUGAUGGAGGGGGAUAACUACUGGAAACGGUAGCUAAUACCGCAUAAUGUCGCAAGACCAAAGUGGGGGACCUUCGGGCCUCAUGCCAUCAGAUGUGCCCAGAUGGGAUUAGCUAGUAGGUGGGGUAACGGCUCACCUAGGCGACGAUCCCUAGCUGGUCUGAGAGGAUGACCAGCCACACUGGAACUGAGACACGGUCCAGACUCCUACGGGAGGCAGCAGUGGGGAAUAUUGCACAAUGGGCGCAAGCCUGAUGCAGCCAUGCCGCGUGUGUGAAGAAGGCCUUCGGGUUGUAAAGCACUUUCAGCGGGGAGGAAGGCGGUGAGGUUAAUAACCUCAUCGAUUGACGUUACCCGCAGAAGAAGCACCGGCUAACUCCGUGCCAGCAGCCGCGGUAAUACGGAGGGUGCAAGCGUUAAUCGGAAUUACUGGGCGUAAAGCGCACGCAGGCGGUCUGUCAAGUCGGAUGUGAAAUCCCCGGGCUCAACCUGGGAACUGCAUUCGAAACUGGCAGGCUAGAGUCUUGUAGAGGGGGGUAGAAUUCCAGGUGUAGCGGUGAAAUGCGUAGAGAUCUGGAGGAAUACCGGUGGCGAAGGCGGCCCCCUGGACAAAGACUGACGCUCAGUGCGAAAGCGUGGGGAGCAGACAGGAUUAGAUACCCUGGUAGUCCACGCCGUAAACGAUGUCGAUUUGGAGGUUGUGCCCUUGAGGCGUGGCUUCCGGAGCUAACGCGUUAAAUCGACCGCCUGGGGAGUACGGCCGCAAGGUUAAAACUCAAAUGAAUUGACGGGGGCCCGCACAAGCGGUGGAGCAUGUGGUUUAAUUCGAUGCAACGCGAAGAACCUUACCUGGUCUUGACAUCCACAGAACUUUCCAGAGAUGGAUUGGUGCCUUCGGGAACUGUGAGACAGGUGCUGCAUGGCUGUCGUCAGCUCGUGUUGUGAAAUGUUGGGUUAAGUCCCGCAACGAGCGCAACCCUUAUCCUUUGUUGCCAGCGGUUCGGCCGGGAACUCAAAGGAGACUGCCAGUGAUAAACUGGAGGAAGGUGGGGAUGACGUCAAGUCAUCAUGGCCCUUACGACCAGGGCUACACACGUGCUACAAUGGCAUAUACAAAGAGAAGCGACCUCGCGAGAGCAAGCGGACCUCAUAAAGUAUGUCGUAGUCCGGAUUGGAGUCUGCAACUCGACUCCAUGAAGUCGGAAUCGCUAGUAAUCGUAGAUCAGAAUGCUACGGUGAAUACGUUCCCGGGCCUUGUACACACCGCCCGUCACACCAUGGGAGUGGGUUGCAAAAGAAGUAGGUAGCUUAACCUUCGGGAGGGCGCUUACCACUUUGUGAUUCAUGACUGGGGUGAAGUCGUAACAAGGUAACCGUA
This 1503-nucleotide ribosomal RNA is filed under the name Klebsiella sp. enrichment culture clone SRC_DSA10. Its description in RNAcentral is "bacterial SSU rRNA". It matches the Rfam family "Bacterial small subunit ribosomal RNA". Lineage: Bacteria; Pseudomonadati; Pseudomonadota; Gammaproteobacteria; Enterobacterales; Enterobacteriaceae. The record is from RNAcentral.